AGCAGCCACUCAUUAAAAGAGUGCGUAAUAGCUCACUGGUCGAGUGACCCUGCGCGGAAAAUAUAACGGGGCUAAGCGUCCAACCGAAGCUUGGGAUGUCUAAGGACAUGGUAGGGGAGCGUCGUGUAUAGGGAGAAGCAUGAGCGAGAGCACAUGUGGACAGUACACGAGUGAGAAUGCCGGAAUGAGUAGCGAGAAUUAUGUGGGAAUCAUAAUGGCCGAAAAUCUAAGGUUUCCUGGGGAAGGUUCGUCCGCCCAGGGUUAGUCGGGAGCUAAGGCGAGGCCGCGAGGCGUAGUCGAUGCACAUACGGUUGAAAUUCCGUAACCACCUUAUCGAAUGAAAGCUGACACUUGGAAAUAGCGGGACCCGGAGAUUGGUAGAUCCGGGCGUAAGGGACCGAAUACGAGUAGGGAAGUCCGCGAUGUUCCGAGGCGAGAAAAGGCGAAGGUAGGGUGCCCGUACCGCAAACCGACACAGGUAGAUGAGGAGAGAAUCCUAAGGCCAACGGGAGAAGGGUUGUUAAGGAACUCGGCAAAUUGACCCCGUAACUUCGGGAUAAGGGGAGCCUCCUACGGGAGGCCGCAGUGAAUAGGCCCAAGCAACUGUUUACCAAAAACACAGGUCUCUGCUAAAUCGAAAGAUGACGUAUAGGGGCUGACGCCUGCCCGGUGCCGGAAGGUUAAGAGGAGAGCUUAGCGCAAGCGAAGGUUCGAAUUGAAGCCCCGGUAAACGGCGGCCGUAACUAUAACGGUCCUAAGGUAGCGAAAUUCCUUGUCAGGUAAGUUCUGACCCGCACGAAUGGCGUAAUGAUUUGGGCACUGUCUCAACAGCCCGCCCGGCGAAAUUGUAGUACUGGUGAAGAUGCCAGUUACCCGCAACUAGACGGAAAGACCCCAUGGAGCUUUACUGCAGCUUAAUACUGGAAUUCGGUAAUUCAUGUACAGGAUAGGUGGGAGACUGGGAACUACUGUCGUCAGGCAGUAGGGAGUCGCCCUUGGGAUACCACUCUUGAAUUGCUGGGUUUCUAACCUGCGGCCGUGAAUCCGGUCGGGGGACACUGUUAGGCAGACAGUUUGACUGGGGCGGUCGCCUCCUAAAAGGUAACGGAGGCGCUCAAAGGUUGGCUCAGCACGGACGGAAAUCGUGCAAUGAGUGUAAACGUAUAAGCCAGCCUAACUGCGAGAGUGACGGCUCGAGCAGUAACGAAAGUUGGAGUUAGUGAUCCGGUGGUAUGUGAGUGGAAAUGCCAUCGCUCAACGGAUAAAA
RNAcentral lists this ribosomal RNA (1267 nucleotides) under human gut metagenome. RNAcentral describes it as "bacterial LSU rRNA". It matches the Rfam family "Bacterial large subunit ribosomal RNA", at positions 1111 to 2461 of the family's 2925-position model. The record is from RNAcentral.